RNAcentral lists this ribosomal RNA (207 nucleotides) under uncultured bacterium. Its description in RNAcentral is "partial 16S ribosomal RNA". It matches the Rfam family "Bacterial small subunit ribosomal RNA", at positions 568 to 774 of the family's 1533-position model. The record is from RNAcentral.
CACGUAGGCGGGCAAUCGAGUCAGAUGUAAAAGGCGACGGCUUAACCGUAGUAUGUCAUCUGAUACUGGUUGUCUUGAGUUCGAGAGAGGGUGGUGGAAUUCCCGGUGUAGCGGUGAAAUGCGUAGAUAUCGGGAAGAACACCAGAAGCGAAGGCGGCCACCUGGAUCGACACUGACGCUGAGACGCGAAAGCGUGGGUAGCAAACA